CUUCAGUGAUGAUACGAUGACGAGACAGAAUAAGACUCGAUCUGGGUCUGGAGGUCACUUGUUCAGUUCCACGUUCUGUGGUUCUGUUCUGGUUCCUCAGAUCAGGGGGUCCUUUCAAUAUGAAGACACAGAGGCAUUUGUCUGAGAGGG
This 150-nucleotide small nucleolar RNA is filed under the name Mastacembelus armatus (zig-zag eel). Lineage: Eukaryota; Metazoa; Chordata; Actinopteri; Synbranchiformes; Mastacembelidae. The record is from RNAcentral.